This 426-nucleotide ribosomal RNA is filed under the name uncultured bacterium. RNAcentral's name for it is "bacterial SSU rRNA". It matches the Rfam family "Bacterial small subunit ribosomal RNA", at positions 354 to 796 of the family's 1533-position model. The record is from RNAcentral.
GUGAGGAAUAUUGGGCAAUGGGCGGAAGCCUGACCCAGCAACGCCGCGUGAAGGAUGAAGGCCUUCGGGUUGUAAACUUCUUUUGUCGGGGAAGAGAGAGGACGGUACCCGGCGAAUAAGUCACGGCUAACUACGUGCCAGCAGCCGCGGUAAUACGUAGGUGACGAGCGUUAUCCGGAAUUACUGGGCGUAAAGCGCACGCAGGCGGCUGCUUAAGUCUGACGUAAAAUCUCCUGGCUUAACUGGGAGGGGUCGUUGGAGACUGGGCGGCUUGAGGCAACGAGAGGGGUGUAGAAUUCCCGGUGUAGUGGUGGAAUGCGUAGAUAUCGGGAGGAAUACCAGAGGCGAAAGCGACACCCUGGCGUUGAACUGACGCUCAUGUGCGAAAGCGUGGGGAGCGAACGGGAUUAGAAACCCCUGUAGUCC